Molecule: ribosomal RNA, 305 nt
Filed under: uncultured bacterium
Lineage: Bacteria
Description: bacterial SSU rRNA
Rfam family: Bacterial small subunit ribosomal RNA
Source: RNAcentral
UCCUACGGGGGGCAGCAGUGAGGAAUAUUGGUCAAUGGCCGGGAGGCUGAACCAGCCAAGUCGCGUGAGGGAAGACGGCCCUACGGGUUGUAAACCUCUUCUGUCAGGGAGCAAGGUGCAGGUCGGGACCUGCUGUGAGAGUACCUGAAGAAAAAGCAUCGGCUAACUCCGUGCCAGCAGCCGCGGUAAUACGGAGGAUGCGAGCGUUAUCCGGAUUUAUUGGGUUUAAAGGGUGCGCAGGCGGAUUUUUAAGUCAGCGGUCAAAUCGUGGGGCUCAACCUCAUCCAGCCGUUGAAACUGGGGAU